Molecule: ribosomal RNA, 186 nt
Filed under: uncultured bacterium
Lineage: Bacteria
Description: partial 16S ribosomal RNA
Rfam family: Bacterial small subunit ribosomal RNA
Source: RNAcentral
UACGGGAGGCAGCAGUGAGGAAUAUUGGUCAAUGGGCGCGAGCCUGAACCAGCCAUCCCGCGUGCAGGAUGACGGCCCUAUGGGUUGUAAACUGCUUUUCUACGCCAAGAAACGGUCCUACGUGUAGGGCACUGACGGUAGCGUAGGAAUAAGCAUCGGCUAACUCCGUGCCAGCAGCCGCGGUAA